Molecule: ribosomal RNA, 274 nt
Filed under: uncultured bacterium
Lineage: Bacteria
Description: partial 16S ribosomal RNA
Rfam family: Bacterial small subunit ribosomal RNA
Source: RNAcentral
AUACGGAGGGUGCAAGCGUUAAUCGGAAUUACUGGGCGUAAAGCGUACGUAGGCGGCAAGUUAAGUUAGAUGUGAAAGCCCCGGGCUCAACCUGGGAACUGCAUUUAAAACUGGCUUGCUAGAGUUGAGUAGAGGGGAGUGGAAUUUCAGGUGUAGCGGUGAAAUGCGUAGAGAUCUGAAGGAACACCAGUGGCGAAGGCGACUCCCUGGACUCGAACUGACGCUGAGGUACGAAAGCGUGGGUAGCAAACGGGAUUAGAUACCCCAGUAGUCC